Molecule: ribosomal RNA, 494 nt
Filed under: uncultured bacterium
Lineage: Bacteria
Description: partial 16S ribosomal RNA
Rfam family: Bacterial small subunit ribosomal RNA
Source: RNAcentral
GACGAACGCUGGCGGCGCGCUUAACACAUGCAAGUCGAACGGAAAGGCCUGCUUUCCCUUGUGGGUUGCGGGUACUCGAGUGGCGAACGGGUGAGUAACACGUGAGCGAUCUGCCCCCAACUUGGGUAUAAGCCUGGGAAACUGGGUCUAAUUCCCGAUAGGACCGCAGGGUGGUGCCGGUGGUGGAAAACGAUUUUCUAGUGGUUGGGGAUGAGCUCGCGGCCUAUCAGCUUGUUGGUGGGGUAAUGGCCUACGAAGGCGGCGACGGGUAGCCGGCCUGGGGGGGUCGGCGGCCCCGUUGGGACUGCGAUACGGCCCAGACUCCUACGGGCGGCAGCCGUGGGGAAUAUUGCACGAUGGGCGGAAGCCUGAUGCAGCGACGCCGCGUGGGGGAUGACGGCCUUCGGGUUGUAAACUCCUUUCGACCGCGAGGAAGCCACCUGGUUGGAAGGGUGGUGACGGUAGUGGUAGAAGAAGCACCGGCUAACUACGUG